AAAUUUUUUCUUAAUUUUUUAAAAUUAAUAAUUUAAAUUAAUUAAAAUAAUAAUAAUAAUAGGUUAUUUUAGUAUAGUUAAAGAAAAAAUAAUAUAAUUUAUAGAAUAAUAGUAUAGUAAUAGAAAGAUGAAAUAUAUGAAAAUUUAAUUAUUAAAAAGUAAAUUUAAUUUAUUGUAUCUUGUGUAUCAGAGAAUAUUUAUUAAUAAUUGUUUAUUAUAAUUUUUUCGAAAUUUAAAGAGUUAAUUAAUUAUAUUAGUUAUUGUAAAAAAAAUAUUAAUAAUAAUUAAUUAGAAAUGAAAUGUUAAUCGUUUUAAAUGAUAUCUAAUUUCUUAAGAAAUAAAUUUAAUUUAGUUGUUUAUUUAGUAAAUUAUUUUAUGUUUAGAUAAUUUAUAUUUAUGUAAAUAAUUAUAUUAAAGGGGAUAAGCUUUUUAAUAAAUUUUUAUAUUAAUAUUUAAAUUAUUUUUAAAAAUAUAAGAAUAAAAUUAUUUAUUAUUUUUAUUUUAUUAUAAAAAAUUUUUAAGAGAAUGUUAAUUUUAAAAUAUUAAAAUUAAUAAGAUUUAUUAAGAGUUUUAUUUUAAUUUUUAAAAUAAAGAUAUAAUGAUAUUAUUAGUAUAUAAAUUUAAUAUGUAAUAUAUAAGAAUUGAUUGAUUAAUUUUAAGAAUUCGGCAAAAUUUUAUAUUCGCUUGUUUAACAAAAACAUGUCUUUUUGAUUUAUAAUUUAAGGUCUAAUCUGCCCACUGAAUUAAAUUUUAAAGGGCUGCGGUAAUUUAACCGUACAAAGGUAGCAUAAUAAAUAGUUUUUUGAUUAAAGACUGGAAUGAAUGAUUGGACGAAAUAUAAGCUGUUUUAAAUUAAUUAAAAUAGAAUUUAAUUUUUUAGUUAAAAAGCUAAAAUAAUUUUAAAAGACGAGAAGACCCUAUAAAUCUUUAUAAAAAUUAAGUUAAUUUAAAUUAUUUAUUAGUUAUAAAUUUAAUUUAAAAUUUAUUUUAUUGGGGUGAUAUAAAAAUUUUUUAAACUUUUUAUCUAAUAAUAUUUAAAUUAAAAGGAAAUAUGAUCUAUUUUAAUAAUUAAAAGAAUAAGAUACUUUAGGGAUAACAGCGUAAUUUUGAUUUUAAGUUCUUAUUAAAAUUAAAGAUUGCGACCUCGAUGUUGGAUUAAAAUUUAUUUUGAAUGUAACCGUUUAAAUAUUUAGUCUGUUCGACUAUUAAAAUUUUACAUGAUCUGAGUUCAAACCGGUGUAAGCCAGGUUGGUUUCUAUCUUUAAAAAAAAUUAAAUUUUUUAGUACGAAAGGAUUGAAAAUUUUAAAUAGAUUUAAUUAAAUUGAAUUAAUUUAAUUGUAAUAAUA
This 1347-nucleotide ribosomal RNA is filed under the name Eubasilissa regina. RNAcentral's name for it is "16S ribosomal RNA". The record is from RNAcentral. Lineage: Eukaryota; Metazoa; Arthropoda; Insecta; Trichoptera; Phryganeidae.